RNAcentral lists this ribosomal RNA (418 nucleotides) under uncultured bacterium. RNAcentral describes it as "bacterial SSU rRNA". It matches the Rfam family "Bacterial small subunit ribosomal RNA", at positions 29 to 490 of the family's 1533-position model. The record is from RNAcentral.
AACGAACGCUGGCGGCAGGCUUAACACAUGCAAGUCGAACGGGUGUAGCAAUACAUCAGUGGCAGACGGGUGAGUAACACGUGGGAACCUUCCUAGGGGUACGGAACAACUCAGGGAAACUUGAGCUAAUACCGUAUACGUCCGUAAGGAGAAAGAUUCAUCGCCCCUAGACGGGCCCGCGUCGGAUUAGGUAGUUGGUGGGGUAACGGCCUACCAAGCCUACGAUCCGUAGCUGAUCUGAGAGGANGAUCAGCCACACUGGGACUGAGACACGGCCCAGACUCCUACGGGAGGCAGCAGUGGGGAAUCUUGGACAAUGGGCGCAAGCCUGAUCCAGCCAUGCCGCGUGAGUGAAGAAGGCCUUAGGGUUGUAAAGCUCUUUUACCAGGGACGAUAAUGACGGUACCUGGAGAAUAAG